UCCUCAUUUAUUACACUUAUCCCUAAAGUCAAUUGUCUGGUUGUUGUUACAGAUUUCAGGCAUAUUAGUCUUAUAGGUGCUCAGUAUAAGAUCAAUGCGAAUGUCAUGGCUUUAUGUCUGGCGAAGAAGAUUGGUUAUGUGGUCACCAGGGAGCAAUCUGCUUUUGUGAAGGGGCGUCAGAUUCUAGACGGUCCUUUGAUGGUUAAUAAAAUAGUUGAUUGGUGCAAGAAGAAAAAAAAAGAAAAUUAUUGAUUUUUAAAAUUGAUUUUGAAAAAGCAUAUGACUCUGUUGGUUGGAAUUUUUUAGAACAAGUGAUGGUGAUUCUUGGCUUUGGGGUCAAAUGAGUGCCUUGCGUCUGAGGUGCUUUGAAUUCGACAGAGGCUUUUGUGUUGAUUAAUGGUAUCCCUUCAUUGGAGUUUUAGAUUGAGAGAGGUCUUCGUCAAGGUUUGACUGAUGAUCAAGUUAGAUCGCUUGCGGCUUUUAUAGGAUGUCGUCUUGGAAAACUUUUGUUUCUCUAUCUCGGCCUUCUAGUGGGAUCUUCUAUGUCGUUCAUCCGGAAUUAGAGUCCUACUAUUCAGAAGUUCAACUCGGUGGAAGUUUAACAUGCUUUCUAUUUUAGGGAGUUCUACUUUGAUUACUUCAGUUUUGGGUUCGAUAGAUGGAAAUGGAAGAAAAAAAACUCAUUAGAUUUCUUGGAACUUGGUUAUUGCUUCUAAAGAAAAAGGUGGGAUUCAAAUUGGCAGUCUUGAUGCCCUAAAUUCUGCUUUGUUGUUAAAAUGGAGGUGGCAUUAUGUUGUUGAGAUAGAUGCGUUUUGGGCUACUUUUAUAUCUGAUAUCUGUGGGAAAAUAGUAAAGAUGCAUUUGAUGUGACUUAUGGUUGAAGUGGUGGUGUUUGGGCUCCGAUAGUUGGUACUAUUAAUACCAUGCAUGAGAAAGGUAUCGUUCCUCUUUCUUCUUUGAAAAAACAGGUUGGCAAGGGUAGGAAUACAAGUUUUUGUUUUGAUAUUUGUCUUGGUGAGAUACCCUUAAAGAUGUGAUUCCAAAGACUUUUUCAAUUGGAAUCAGUUAAAAAUAGUUCGGUUCAUGAUCGUUUAGGGGCCGAUUGUAAUUGGAAUUGGAUUCGCCAAAUAACCGGUGGAGUUCUUAAGUCUCAGUUUGAGGAGUUAAAAUGGCUCAUUGGAAAAUUUCAAAUCUCUAAUGAUUCUGAUUGUUGGAAAUGGAAUUUGUAGAAUAUAGAAGAUUUUGCGGUUUGUACGACGAGAAGAUUUAUUGUUAAUGUUAUACUUCCGGAUAAUGCUAUUCCUACUAGAUGGAACUGAUUUCUUCCCAAAAAAGUUAAUAUUUUCUUUUUUGGUCUGCUCUUCUUGACACCAGAUGGAAGUUGAGUCACAAAGGGGUUGAAGUUCAGUUUUAUUGUGUCUGGUUUGUUCAGUAGAAAUCAAAAGUCUUGACCAUCUGUUUAUUUCUUGUGAGUUAGGGACCCACAUAUGUAGGAAAGUUUUUAUUUGGUGUGAUUUGGUUAAGCCAUACAUGCUUGCUUGGAUUGAUGGUAUGUCAGGUGGGGGCUAAGAAACAUCAUGCUAUGGAGUCUAUUCUUGUUGUUAGGCUUUGGUUAAUUUGGAAAUAUAAGAAUGGUUUGAUUUUUUAAGAGGUGACUCCGAGAAGAGAUGAGAUUUUUGAUAAUUUAGUUGAUUGUUCGUGGAAUUGGUUUAUCUUCAAAAAUACAAAAGGUUGUCAAACCAUUUUCUAGCUAUUUCUGGGUAAUUUCCUAGCUCCCGCUAGUUUUUUAU
Lactuca sativa (garden lettuce) is the source of this 1790-nucleotide long non-coding RNA. RefSeq lists it as uncharacterized. The record is from RefSeq and is a predicted model, not a curated record. Lineage: Eukaryota; Viridiplantae; Streptophyta; Magnoliopsida; Asterales; Asteraceae.